Molecule: small RNA, 88 nt
Filed under: Arabidopsis thaliana (thale cress)
Lineage: Eukaryota; Viridiplantae; Streptophyta; Magnoliopsida; Brassicales; Brassicaceae
Description: ATSL016830
Source: RNAcentral
UAGCGGAGCGACAAAAUUCGCCAUUGAAAGACAGGCAGUGAACGAAGCUCAUUUCCGUUGUCCUGAUGAAUUGGGCUGGCAACCGCAG